CAGCCUACGGGAGGCAGCAGUGGGGGAUAUUGCACAAUGGGGGAAACCCUGAUGCAGCGACGCCGCGUGGAGGAAGAAGGUCUUCGGAUUGUAAACUCCUGUCCGAGGGGACGAUAAUGACAGUACCUCAGGAGGAAGCUCCGGCUAACUAUGUGCCAGCAGCCGCGGUAAUACAUAGAGAGCAAGCGUUAUCCGGAAUUAUUGGGUGUAAAGGGUGCGUAGACGGGAAAUUAAGUUAGUUGUGAAAUCCCUUGGCUUAACUGAGGAACUGCAACUAAAACUGAUUUUCUUGAGUACUGGAGAGG
RNAcentral lists this ribosomal RNA (305 nucleotides) under uncultured bacterium. RNAcentral describes it as "bacterial SSU rRNA". It matches the Rfam family "Bacterial small subunit ribosomal RNA", at positions 332 to 657 of the family's 1533-position model. The record is from RNAcentral.